CAUAUACCUUACUCUUUUGUGAAGUGGGAAUACACUUUCAGCUGCAGUGAUUUCGGGACUACUAAAAGAAAUGUCCACGCUGAGUUUGUAGUACACAUGCUUGCUCCUACAAGAGACUUUAUUUUAGUUUUAUAACUAGCUUUAGAACAAAUUUUAAACACAUCUUUUUCUCCUCCUGUGUUACAUUUCAAGGAUGCAAAUAGUUCUUCAUAGACACAAAACUUCCCAUCUUACUGAAGUAAAUUAAAAGUGGGAAACGUUUAAAUCUUACUGCUAUUACAGCUUUUCUCUUUAAAAUGACUGUGAUGGGAAAAUCUAUGUAUCUCCAGACUGCUAUUUUAUUUCAGAAAGAACCCACAGCUUGUUUGUGUGUUUGGUUAUUUUUCUAGUAAAAAUGUUUCCAGCUCAUCUUAAUGUCUGUUUUGAUAGGGCAUCUGAAGGCAGUUUUUGUUGUAAAGGAAUGACUUUCUCAGUGACAUGUUCUUUAGAUCAGGUUUUGAUCUUAAUAACUUAGAUACAUUGUUGUGAAAUCCUGGUAUGGGUCAGGUCCAAGUUUGCCUUGUUAGGGGGAUAGCAAGGUUUGGUUGUUCUUAAGAGUAAGAAAAAUGUAGUUUAUUUUAAAAACAAAAGGCAUGAAUUCUAAAUCUUCAGGUUCUGACAUAAUUUGCAGAUUGUCCUGGUUUCUCAUAUCACCAGUGCCAAAUACAUAGUUUUUUUAAUGGAGGCUAGUGUUUAUCUAAUAGUCCUAAUAUUAAUCUUAGUAAAACCUGUUACUCUGUGUCUGUCUUCUUAGACAACACCAGCUUUAGAUUCACUUUUUGUUUUAUCUUGUUCUUAAAGAAAAUAAAAUAGGUAUAAUAUUUUUGACAUAGUAAGUUCAACGUAAUUUAGAAAUGUGCAAAUGACUUUUGGGAUCAGUGUGGUGCUGUUUCAUGAACAACACCGUUCUGUGGUAUGUGGGGACACAUCUAUGUUUCGUGCCUAUUUGUGGCCUUGGGGCAGAUGGAAAAAAGGAGCAUAGGAAGUUCUCUGGAAAUCUUCAAUGAACAAUUGCUUUAGCACUUCACAACACACAGAACAAUAUUCUUAUGCAUUAAUAUUACUACUUAAAUAGAUCUCUGCUGGUUAUACCUACAUGACCAUAGCCAUCAGUAUGAAGAGAACUGUAGAAAAAGAAAUACUAGUCAAGCUUUAGCUUUUGCUAGUGUACAAAUGUUGCAAAAUAAAAAUCAAGGUGGAGAAAUUGUCUACCUUUGAUUUUUGCAUUUUGCAAUAUUGAUUGCUGGUUUUUUAACUAUAGUAAUAAUUCCAGGAAUUUAUGCAUGAAAAACCAAAAUGACAUUACAAAGAUGGGGCCCAUCAAUUGUUCUCACUAUUUUCUCUUUUGUAGAUUGAUAAAAUCAUGAGUUCUAUAGAUGCUGGAAUUAAUACUGGACUGGGAGAGAUGAGUGAUCACACUACAAGUAAGGAAAAACAACUAACUAUUGUUUAAUUUUGACUUAACUGUCUAUAGGAAAACUGUGGAUAAGAUAUUGCUAAGUAACCCACUGUGUUGAAACAAUUUGUAGGUAUUUGAAUAACCAUGAGCAGAAUCAAUGUUGUUUACUGUUGGAGAUGCAUUAGGUCCAGUAUCCUGGAGCUGUUACUUUAAAUAGCAUAUUGGAGUCAUUAAUGUUGUUUUGAAAUCUUACCAGAAAGAAUACUCCAUUAAUGUCUCAUACUGAGGCCUUCCUGCUAGGGGGAUAUUUUCCAAUCUUUUUCAGCUGAGUUGUUGUUUGGAAUGAUGGGACCCCGAGUAUAUACAAUCCAAUAGCUGCUGACACUUUUUAAAGCAUCAUGUUAUCUAAUGCUGCUUCAAUCAAAUAUUUGGCACAGGGCUGAAAAUGUUGCUGACAGCCAGUGACUGGUGUUAGCAAUGUCAGGAAAAUUUACAAACCUUCCUUACCAUGGUGAAUUCUAAGAACUCCAAGUCAUGCCUAGCCUUUUGGUGUGUCAGUAUAAACCUGUGCAACAGUGCUGAUAAGAAUUUUGAAAGUAUUUUACUGUAUCUUCCUAACUCAUGGAAAGAAAACUGACUUGUAUGUCUGGAUAAUUUGAUCUUGAGGCAAAGCUAUGUUAAUUCACCUACACUGGUAUACCCCUGUUAGCAAUUCCAAUUACUUGGUUUUAUCUGUUGGACAGGAGACUAUGUACCUUACUGCUUAAAGUUAAAAAAAAAAAAAAGAAAAAAAG
This 2232-nucleotide long non-coding RNA is filed under the name Strigops habroptila (Kakapo). Its description in RNAcentral is "lncRNA (ENSSHBG00005013910.1)". The record is from RNAcentral. Lineage: Eukaryota; Metazoa; Chordata; Aves; Psittaciformes; Psittacidae.